RNAcentral lists this ribosomal RNA (250 nucleotides) under uncultured bacterium. RNAcentral describes it as "partial 16S ribosomal RNA". It matches the Rfam family "Bacterial small subunit ribosomal RNA", at positions 793 to 1055 of the family's 1533-position model. The record is from RNAcentral.
GUCCACGCCGUAACGAUGGAUACUAGCUGUUGGGCAACUUCAGUGGCUAAGCGAAGUGAUAAGUAUCCCACCUGGGAGUACGUUCGCAAGAAUGAACUCAAAGGAAUUGACGGGCCCGCACAAGCGGUGGAGCAUGUGGUUUAAUUCGAUGCAACGCGAAGAACCUUACCUGGUCUUGACAUAGUAAGAACUUUCCAGAGAUGGAUUGGUGCCUUCGGGAGCUUACAUACAGGUGCUGCAUGGCUGUCGU